RNAcentral lists this ribosomal RNA (301 nucleotides) under uncultured bacterium. RNAcentral's name for it is "partial 16S ribosomal RNA". It matches the Rfam family "Bacterial small subunit ribosomal RNA", at positions 509 to 809 of the family's 1533-position model. The record is from RNAcentral.
CAGCCGCCGCGGGAAUACGUAGGGUGCAAGCGUUAAUCGGAAUUACUGGGCGUAAAGCGUGCGCAGGCGGUUAUAUAAGACAGAUGUGAAAUCCCCGGGCUCAACCUGGGAACUGCAUUUGUGACUGUAUAGCUAGAGUACGGCAGAGGGGGAUGGAAUUCCGCGUGUAGCAGUGAAAUGCGUAGAUAUGCGGAGGAACACCGAUGGCGAAGGCAAUCCCCUGGGCCUGUACUGACGCUCAUGCACGAAAGCGUGGGGAGCAAACAGGAUUAGAUACCCCUGUAGUCACUGUCUCUUAUAA